UCCGGUUGAUCCCGGCAGAGGCCACUGCUAUCGGAGUUCGAUUAAGCCAUGCGAGUCGAGAGGUGUAAGACCUCGGCAUACUGCUCAGUAACACGUGGACAACCUAACCUGAAGAGGGGGAUAACCCCGGGAAACUGGGGAUAAUACCCCAUAGAUUAUGGAUGCUGGAAUGCUCUGUAGUUGAAAGGUCCGCCGCUUCAGGAUGGGUCUGCGGCCGAUUAGGUUGUUGUUGGGGUAACGGCCCAACAAGCCUGUAAUCGGUACGGGUUGUGGGAGCAAGAGCCCGGAGAUGGAUUCUGAGACACGAAUCCAGGCCCUACGGGGCGCAGCAGGCGCGAAAACUUUACAAUGCGAGCAAUCGUGAUAAGGGAACUCCGAGUGCCUGUAAAAUCAGGCUGUCCGCCAGUGUAAAUAACUGGUGAAGAAAGGGCCGGGCAAGACCGGUGCCAGCCGCCGCGGUAAUACCGGCGGCUCGAGUGGUGGCCACUAUUACUGGGCUUAAAGCGUUCGUAGCUGGUCUGUUAAGUCUCUGGGGAAAUCUUCCGGCUUAACCGGAAGGCGUCUCAGGGAUACUGGCAGACUAGGGACCGGAAGAGGUGAGAGGUACUCCAGGGGUAGGAGUGAAAUCCUGUAAUCCUUGGGGGACCACCUGUGGCGAAGGCGUCCCACCAGGACGGCUCCGACAGUGAGGAACGAAAGCUGGGGGAGCAAACCGGAUUAGAUACCCGGGUAGUCCCAGCUGUAAACGAUGCACGUUAGGUGUAUCGGUGACCACGAGUCACCGAGGUGCCGAAGAGAAAUCGUGAAACGUGCCGCCUGGGAAGUACGGUCGCAAGGCUGAAACUUAAAGGAAUUGGCGGGGGAGCACCACAACGGGUGGAGCCUGCGGUUUAAUCGGACUCAACGCCGGGAAACUCACCGGACAAGACAGCUGAAUGAUAGUCGGGCUGAAGACUCUACUUGACUAGCUGAGAGGAGGUGCAUGGCCGUCGUCAGUUCGUACUGUGAAGCAUCCUGUUAAGUCAGGCAACGAGCGAGACCCA
This 1043-nucleotide ribosomal RNA is filed under the name uncultured archaeon. Its description in RNAcentral is "bacterial SSU rRNA". It matches the Rfam family "Archaeal small subunit ribosomal RNA", at positions 1 to 1054 of the family's 1478-position model. The record is from RNAcentral.